RNAcentral lists this unclassified non-coding RNA (326 nucleotides) under air metagenome. Its description in RNAcentral is "partial contains small subunit ribosomal RNA, internal transcribed spacer 1, and 5.8S ribosomal RNA". The stretch from base 1 to 46 matches the Rfam family "Eukaryotic small subunit ribosomal RNA", at positions 1786 to 1831 of the family's 1831-position model. The record is from RNAcentral.
AAGUCGUAACAAGGUUUCCGUAGGUGAACCUGCGGAAGGAUCAUUAACGAAUAACUAUGGUGUCUUGGUUGUAGCUGGCUCCUCGGAGCAUUGUGCACGCCCGCCAUUUUUAUCUAUCCACCUGUGCACCGACUGUAGGUCUGGAUGACUCUCGCACUCCCCGAGUGCGGAUGCGGGGAUUGCCCUCUUCACGGAGGUGUCUCUCCUCGAAUUUCCAGGCUCUACGUCUUUUUACACACCCCAAAAGUAUGAUAUAGAAUGUAGUCAAUGGGCUUGAUCGCCUAUAAAACACUAUACAACUUUCAGCAACGGAUCUCUUGGCUCUC